GACGAACGCUGGCGGCGUGCUUAACACAUGCAAGUCGAACGGAAAGGCCCUGCUUUUGUGGGGUGCUCGAGUGGCGAACGGGUGAGUAACACGUGAGUAACCUGCCCUUGACUUUGGGAUAACUUCAGGAAACUGGGGCUAAUACCGGAUAGGAGCUCCUGCUGCAUGGUGGGGGUUGGAAAGUUUCGGCGGUUGGGGAUGGACUCGCGGCUUAUCAGCUUGUUGGUGGGGUAGUGGCUUACCAAGGCUUUGACGGGUAGCCGGCCUGAGAGGGUGACCGGCCACAUUGGGACUGAGAGACGGCCCAGACUCCUACGGGAGGCAGCAGUGGGGAAUAUUGCGCAAUGGGCGGAAGCCUGAUGCAGCAACGCCGCGUGCGGGAUGACGGCCUUCGGGUUGUAAACCGCUUUCGCCUGUGACGAAGCGUGAGUGACGGUAAUGGGUAAAGAAGCACCGGCUAACUACGUG
This 468-nucleotide ribosomal RNA is filed under the name uncultured bacterium. RNAcentral's name for it is "partial 16S ribosomal RNA". It matches the Rfam family "Bacterial small subunit ribosomal RNA", at positions 28 to 507 of the family's 1533-position model. The record is from RNAcentral.